This 73-nucleotide transfer RNA is filed under the name Bos taurus (domestic cattle). It matches the Rfam family "tRNA". From Rfam's summary of the family: Transfer RNA (tRNA) molecules are approximately 80 nucleotides in length. Lineage: Eukaryota; Metazoa; Chordata; Mammalia; Artiodactyla; Bovidae. RNAcentral also lists the same sequence under 5 other names. The record is from Rfam by way of RNAcentral.
UCCCUAGUGGUCCAGUGGUUAAGACUCUGUGCUCCCAAUGCAGUGGGCAUGGGUUCAAUCCCUGCCCAGGGAA